AGAUUGAACGCUGGCGGCAUGCCUUACACAUGCAAGUCGAACGGCAGCGCGGGAGCAAUCCUGGCGGCGAGUGGCGAACGGGUGAGUAAUACAUCGGAACGUGCCCAAUCGUGGGGGAUAACGCAGCGAAAGCUGUGCUAAUACCGCAUACGAUCUACGGAUGAAAGCAGGGGAUCGCAAGACCUUGCGCGAAUGGAGCGGCCGAUGGCAGAUUAGGUAGUUGGUGAGGUAAAGGCUCACCAAGCCUUCGAUCUGUAGCUGGUCUGAGAGGACGACCAGCCACACUGGGACUGAGACACGGCCCAGACUCCUACGGGAGGCAGCAGUGGGGAAUUUUGGACAAUGGGCGAAAGCCUGAUCCAGCCAUGCCGCGUGCAGGAUGAAGGCCUUCGGGUUGUAAACUGCUUUUGUACGGAACGAAACGGUCUUUUCUAAUACAGAAGGCUAAUGACGGUACCGUAAGAAUAAGCACCGGCUAACUACGUGCCAGCAGCCGCGGUAAUACGUAGGGUGCAAGCGUUAAUCGGAAUUACUGGGCGUAAAGCGUGCGCAGGCGGUUAUGUAAGACAGUUGUGAAAUCCCCGGGCUCAACCUGGGAACUGCAUCUGUGACUGCAUAGCUAGAGUACGGUAGAGGGGGGAUGGAAUUCCGCGUGUAGCAGUGAAAUGCGUAGAUAUGCGGAGGAACACCGAUGGCGAAGGCAAUCCCCUAGACCUGUACUGACGCUCAUGCACGAAAGCGUGGGGAGCAAACAGGAUUAGAUACCCUGGUAGUCCACGCCCUAAACGAUGUCAACUGGUUGUUGGGUCUUCACUGACUCAGUAACGAAGCUAACGCGUGAAGUUGACCGCCUGGGG
RNAcentral lists this ribosomal RNA (857 nucleotides) under Variovorax sp. A31. RNAcentral describes it as "bacterial SSU rRNA". It matches the Rfam family "Bacterial small subunit ribosomal RNA", at positions 26 to 878 of the family's 1533-position model. The record is from RNAcentral. Lineage: Bacteria; Pseudomonadati; Pseudomonadota; Betaproteobacteria; Burkholderiales; Comamonadaceae.